Molecule: ribosomal RNA, 468 nt
Filed under: uncultured bacterium
Lineage: Bacteria
Description: partial 16S ribosomal RNA
Rfam family: Bacterial small subunit ribosomal RNA
Source: RNAcentral
GACGAACGCUGGCGGCGUGCUUAACACAUGCAAGUCGAACGGAAAGGCCCUGCUUUUGUGGGGUGCUCGAGUGGCGAACGGGUGAGUAACACGUGAGUAACCUGCCCCUGACUUUGGGAUAACUUCAGGAAACUGGGGCUAAUACCGGAUAGGAGCUCCUGCUGCAUGGUGGGGGUUGGAAAGUUUCGGCGGUUGGGGAUGGACUCGCGGCUUAUCAGCUUGUUGGUGGGGUAGUGGCUUACCAAGGCUUUGACGGGUAGCCGGCCUGAGAGGGUGACCGGCCACAUUGGGACUGAGAUACGGCCCAGACUCCUACGGGAGGCAGCAGUGGGUAAUAUUGCACAAUGGGCGGAAGCCUGAUGCAGCAACGCCGCGUGCGGGAUGACGGCCUUCGGGUUGUAAACCGCUUUCGCCUGUGACGAAGCGUGAGUGACGGUAAUGGGUAAAGAAGCACCGGCUAACUACGUG